Molecule: ribosomal RNA, 253 nt
Filed under: uncultured bacterium
Lineage: Bacteria
Description: partial 16S ribosomal RNA
Rfam family: Bacterial small subunit ribosomal RNA
Source: RNAcentral
UACAGAGGGGGCAAGCGUUGUUCGGAAUUACUGGGCGUAAAGGGCGCGUAGGCGGCCCGCUAAGUCGAACGUGAAAUCCCCAGGCUCAACCUGGGAACUGCGUCCGAUACUGGAUGGCUUGAAUCCGGGAGAGGGAUGCAGAAUUCCAGGUGUAGCGGUGAAAUGCGUAGAUAUCUGGAGGAAUACCGGUGGCGAAGGCGGCAUCCUGGACCGGCAUUGACGCUGAGGAGCGAAGGCCAGGGGAGCAAACGGG